RNAcentral lists this ribosomal RNA (497 nucleotides) under uncultured bacterium. RNAcentral's name for it is "partial 16S ribosomal RNA". It matches the Rfam family "Bacterial small subunit ribosomal RNA", at positions 28 to 507 of the family's 1533-position model. The record is from RNAcentral.
GAUGAACGCUGGCGGCGUGCCUAAUACGUGCAAGUCGAGCGAACAGACGAGGAGCUUGCUCCUCUGACGUUAGCGGCGGACGGGUGAGUAACACGUGGAUAACCUACCUAUAAGACUGGGAUAACUUCGGGAAACCGGAGCUAAUACCGGAUAAUAUAUUGAACCGCAUGGUUCAAUAGUGAAAGACGGUUUUGCUGUCACUUAUAGAUGGAUCCGCGCCGCAUUAGCUAGUUGGUAAGGUAACGGCUUACCAAGGCAACGAUGCGUAGCCGACCUGAGAGGGUGAUCGGCCACACUGGAACUGAGACACGGUCCAGACUCCUACGGGAGGCAGCAGUAGGGAAUCUUCCGCAAUGGGCGAAGGCCUGACGGAGCAACGCCGCGUGAGUGAUGAAGGUCUUCGGAUCGUAAAACUCUGUUAUUAGGGAAGAACAAAUGUGUAAGUAACUAUGCACGUCUUGACGGUACCUAAUCAGAAAGCCACGGCUAACUACGUG